CCUCUCCCUCCUCCUCCUCCUCCUCCUUCUCCUCCCCCCCACAGCCGCCCCCGCAACGCCCCCGCACCGCCGAGCCCGGCACCUCCGGGGUGGCAUCACCCCCCCCACCCCGCCUUCAUCCUCCUCCUCCUUUUCCCGGUCUCCCGGUUCCCCCCUUCCCGAUCUCCCCCCCUCCCCCCCCCCAUUCCAUUCCAUUCCCCGCGCCCCCGCCGCUAUUUAUAGCGCAGCGGCCGCCGGCCGGGCACACGCGUGUCCCUGCGUGCUCCGUGUGCGUGCACCGCGGCGGGAACGCUGCCUUUGGCAGAUUCCUUCCAUGAGAUGGCUUUGCUCACCCCUCCAUCUCUCCCAAUGACCAGGAGAUCACACUGAUGUACACCACCAGGCUGUGGAUGAUUCCUGAACAAGAGAUUACUCCGGGCACAUUGGCCAAACCAAAUAACCUACACUCCGUCUCUCAACAUAGACCUUGCACUGUAUCAUGGUAUCAGCUUUUCCGAGCUGCUCCAUCGGAUAAUCAAUACAGCUACAGUCAACACAGUUAAUACACUCAGAAUAGAUGCAGAUAAAUGCUGGGUUUCCAA
Long non-coding RNA from Strigops habroptila (Kakapo), 581 nucleotides. RefSeq lists it as uncharacterized. Lineage: Eukaryota; Metazoa; Chordata; Aves; Psittaciformes; Psittacidae. The record is from RefSeq and is a predicted model, not a curated record. The transcript is spliced from 2 exons.